GGUUCGACAUUUAUAAGAAUAUUGAUAAAAUUCCACUAGUUGAUUGUCCUGUUCUUAUCAUUCAUGGAACUUCAGAUGAAGUUGUAAAUUGUUCCCAUGGGAAACAACUCUGGGAACUGUGUAAAGAAAAAUACGAACCACUCUGGCUUAAAGGAGGGAACCACUGCGAUCUAGAGCACUUUCCAGAGUAUAUCAGGCAGAAGUUCAUAUCAACUGUCGAGAAACCUCCUUGCCAAAGGUACAGUUCAAAGAGAGGUACAGACCAGUUUGGGCAACCCCG
RNAcentral lists this unclassified non-coding RNA (280 nucleotides) under Hevea brasiliensis (rubber tree). Lineage: Eukaryota; Viridiplantae; Streptophyta; Magnoliopsida; Malpighiales; Euphorbiaceae. The record is from RNAcentral.